UUGCACUUCGACAGAG
This 16-nucleotide ribosomal RNA is filed under the name Ligustrum vulgare (common privet). RNAcentral describes it as "partial 26S ribosomal RNA". The record is from RNAcentral. Lineage: Eukaryota; Viridiplantae; Streptophyta; Magnoliopsida; Lamiales; Oleaceae.